GGUCCAAUCCUUAAAGUCAUCCUCAGUUCGGACUGGGGUCUGCAACCCGACCCCACGAAGCUGGAUUCGCUAGUAAUCGCGCAUCAGCCACGGCGCGGUGAAUACGUUCCCGGGCCUUGUACACACCGCCCGUCAAGCCAUGGAAGCCGGGGGUGCCUGAAGUGCGCUGCCGCAAGGAGCGCCCUAGGGUAAAACCGGUGACUGGGGCUAAGUCGUAACAAGGUACC
Molecule: ribosomal RNA, 227 nt
Filed under: uncultured bacterium
Lineage: Bacteria
Description: partial 16S ribosomal RNA
Rfam family: Bacterial small subunit ribosomal RNA
Source: RNAcentral